GGCGGCGUGAUUCAGAAUAAAGUCGAUCCGCAAACUGGAGAAGUGGUGGAUCAGGGAACGUUAGAUCAUUUGACCG
Molecule: transfer RNA, 76 nt
Filed under: Salmonella sp. FORC89
Lineage: Bacteria; Pseudomonadati; Pseudomonadota; Gammaproteobacteria; Enterobacterales; Enterobacteriaceae
Description: tRNA-His
Source: RNAcentral